RNAcentral lists this ribosomal RNA (429 nucleotides) under Chloroflexota bacterium. Its description in RNAcentral is "Chloroflexi bacterium partial 16S ribosomal RNA". It matches the Rfam family "Bacterial small subunit ribosomal RNA", at positions 355 to 776 of the family's 1533-position model. The record is from RNAcentral. Lineage: Bacteria; Bacillati; Chloroflexota.
UGGGGAAUAUUGCACAAUGGGCGCAAGCCUGAUGCAGCCAUGCCGCGUGUAUGAAGAAGGCCUUCGGGUUGUAAAGUACUUUCAGCGGGGAGGAAGGGAGUAAAGUUAAUACCUUUGCUCAUUGACGUUACCCGCAGAAGAAGCACCGGCUAACUCCGUGCCAGCAGCCGCGGUAAUACGGAGGGUGCAAGCGUUAAUCGGAAUUACUGGGCGUAAAGCGCACGCAGGCGGUUUGUUAAGUCAGAUGUGAAAUCCCCGGGCUCAACCUGGGAACUGCAUCUGAUACUGGCAAGCUUGAGUCUCGUAGAGGGUGGUAGAAUUCCAGGUGUAGCGGUGAAAUGCGUAGAGAUCUGGAGGAAUACCGGUGGCGAAGGCGGCCCCCUGGACGAAGACUGACGCUCAGGUGCGAAAGCGUGGGGAGCAAACAGG